Molecule: ribosomal RNA, 483 nt
Filed under: uncultured bacterium
Lineage: Bacteria
Description: bacterial SSU rRNA
Rfam family: Bacterial small subunit ribosomal RNA
Source: RNAcentral
AAUCAACGCUGGCGGCGUGCCUCAGACAUGCAAGUCGAACGAUUAAAGCUCUCUUCGGAGGGUGCAUAGAGUGGCGCACGGGUGAGUAACACGUAAGUAAUCUACCUUCGAGUGGGGAAUAACGUCCGGAAACGGACGCUAAUACCGCAUAAUGCAGCGGCAUCGUAAGAUGACAGUUGUUAAAGAUUUAUCGCUUGAAGAGGAGCUUGCGGCAGAUUAGCUAGUUGGUAAGGUAAUGGCUUACCAAGGCUACGAUCUGUAACCGGUCUUAGAGGACGGUCGGUCACACUGACACUGAAUAACGGGUCAGACUCCUAUGGAGGCAGCAGUCGGGAAUUUUGGGCAAUGGGCGAAAGCCUGACCCAGCAACGCCGCGUGAAGGAUGAAGUAUUUCGGUAUGUAAACUUCGAAAGAAUAGGAAGAAUAAAUGACGGUACUAUUUAUAAGCUCCGGCUAACUACGUGCCAGCAAACCGCGGUAAAU